Molecule: non-coding RNA, 980 nt
Organism: Chiloscyllium plagiosum (whitespotted bambooshark)
Lineage: Eukaryota; Metazoa; Chordata; Chondrichthyes; Orectolobiformes; Hemiscylliidae
Source: RefSeq, a predicted model, not a curated record
UAAGCAACAACCUGCCAUGGCUAUACUCAUGGAAUAAUACCUUACAGACAAUAUCCCAGACACCUUAUUACUGUUCCUGGGUUUGUCCUGUCCAGUUCCACCACAGGUGGCAAAGUGAUAUACAAGUGGGAGGGAUUUGGCCUGAGAGUCCUCUAUACAUUUAAACUUAACAUUAAUUUUAUUGGCUCUAACAAUGGUAAUUAAAAGGUUUUACAUUUUCAUGAGCUUGUUGAGCUUUAUGGAGAGUGCCCCACAACAGAUCGCAGUGAAGCGGUCCAGAAAAUGUGUCCUGCAAUGGCAUCACAGUGAAGCAUUCUGGGAUGAGUGUCCCACAUCAACACUGCAAUGGAGCAGUCUGGGAAGAGUGUCAAAAGGUGACGGGGGAAAGACAAAGCAGCUGACUGGGAUAACAUCAAUGACAGGCGGUCAUUGAGACUGGGGACAAGAUAAGAUUCAGAGGAAAGAAUUUGUAAGAUUGCAGGCACCAGGCUUUAUUUGGUAAAGUAAUGGAAAAGGACCAACAUUGUUUAUUUGCCAUGAAAGAUGUUCCCAAUUGGUUGGAAAUAGUGAUAGAAAAUAUACUUGGAAGACAACUGCCUCUAUUAAAAGGACCUGGAAAAAAAGUGGUCAGAGCAGAAUCCUGAGCAGAACUCAAUAUGGAGAAAAGUUGCCAGCACUAAGUGAGAUCUGGAGGGAAGUGGCUACCUGUGCAAAGGAUUGGGAAGGAAGCUAUAUUGUUGCAUCGUUCGCAGGGGAUUUGUUAUUUUAUUGAUGGACAUAACUGGAGGUUUUUAAAUUGUGGAAAGUAUCAAAUUAGAAGCUGUGACCUUUUUCGGGGCCAGAAACCAGAUUAUAGCCUUGGAAAUGAAAAGUUCUCAGUUACUACCAAGAAACAUACCUGACAGACAGUACUUCCAACAAAUGUGAGGGAUGGGCAGCAUUGAAAAUAGUGGCAAAAAGACACUGAGCUGAAAAUAAUA